AAACGCAUAAACGAGCCUCUAAACAAAAUUUCAAAGAUGAAUAAGCAGAUUCAAUUGAUCAGAAUAACUGAAACUUAAACAGUAAAAACAGAAGAUACAAAUCUCCCGGUUAUGAUUCAUUACUAUGCCAUGUUCAUCGGUAGUAUUAAAGAGUCGCAUAUGUCUUCGCUUGUUGCAGAUUUGUUACUAUGCAAAGAUCUUCCCAGGAGUUAAGCAUGGCUUUGCUUGCAGAUACAAUGAUACCAACCCGUUCGAAGUCAAGACUGCCGAACAAGCUCUUGUCUUAAUGCUUGACUGGUUCGGCAAAUAAUUGAAAUGAGAAUAGCUAAUCUUCGGUACAACUGUUUCAUCCAAAUAAAAAACUUGCUUGCAUCUAUAUGUAAAUUAAUUUUCACAAUCAGUCUUUAUAUGUGUACUGGCUAUGAUCUUGGAUUGUAUGUGGACCAUAUUUACCAAUUGCAAUCUUUAUCAACCACCUUGUUAUCCGUAGGACUGCUGGGGUAUUUAGCUAGUUUGACACGAGGAGACUGUGCGAGGAUUCUGCUUAAUACUGUUCUUUUAGGGUAUUCGAGUCAGGAAAAAAAAUACUUGACAGUAUGGUUGCCAGUCUGAAGCGGAGCUCAGAUCUACAACUACAAACCACGCCACGUUGCCCUCAUGAGUCCUGCCUGGCAUAGAGUCAGCUAUGUACUGUAGAUGCAGUCCACACUUGGCCAAGCGCCGAAGCCAGAUAUGACCAGUGAUCAGGUCAGUAGGUCACACAGAUCUGAGCCUGUAGGCUGUAGUAUCCUUCUCUGUCAUGGGAAAUAUAUAACCGGUUCUGGAGCUCCAUUACUCCAGGUUACAACGGAACUAAGACUACAUAUAUAGCCUCUUUUGCAAGAGCAAAGGCGCUACCUCGUUCGUUCCCUGACGGACCGCCAGAGUCUUUACACUCUGGUUUCUGAAUAUGCCACACAUGAUAACCUACAUAUGUGGCAUAGACGGUUUCAUUCUUCGAUAAAUUAAACCUCCCAUUAUAACUGUAUUGUCCUGGCAACGGUCUCACCAAUGUAAACAAUUUUCUUUUGUAGUGGCCCAAAUCCUCACGAUCCGGUUGAAACCAGUGAAAACCAUGUUGCACCCAGUUUAAAAUUCCUAACAAAUAUAUUAGAAAAAACAACGGUGUGCUGGAGUCCUUAUAAUUUUGAAGGAAAAUUAUGUGGUGAAAAUUAUUUAUCACUAGGUAACUAAACUAGUACGAUCACAUUGCUGAGCUAAACAAAAAUGGUUAACUCCCUGCAAGGUUAUUCUUAAGCACGAGCUCUAGGGAUAGGCCGACCCGCUACCAUCGAUCAGGAAAGGCGUGUCUAGGUGAGAAAACAGUGGUACAUGUGUGGCUCAUUGUACCUAAGUGAGAAUUAUGAGUUUCCAAAUAUCUCUUGGGACAUAUCUUACAUUUAUGUACUACUAAACUUGCAUCAUUAUCCUUUUUCCUUAUUGCUAAUAUUUAUUAAUCGGUUUUUAAUAGUAACCUGCAAAUAUAUUUAAUAGUAACCUGCAAAUAUAUUAAGAUAUAUCUUAUCUAGAUGAGACACCAAUAUUAUCUCAAUGUGUCCACCUCUUUAUAUAAGCACUUGUAUACCCAAGCACAACACGUACGUGUCUCCAUCGUCACACUUUGGAGUAACAUAGUCAUGGUGAAGGGCAAGACAACAAAGGGUAGGCAGAAGAUUGAAAUCAAGGCCAUCCACAGUGAGAAGCCACGCCAUGUAUGCUCAAAGCGUCGCCAGGGCCUAUUUGGUAAGGCCAAUGAGCUUUCCACCCUAUGUGGCGCAGGUAUCGCCAUUGUUGUUUUCUCACCUGGGGGUAAAAUCUUCUCUUUCGGUAAUCCCUCUGUGGACUCUAUCAUUCAUCGCUUCCUCCCCAAGAGCAUCAAUGAUGCACAUGCAAUGGUUAGUGGAAGCAAAUGGAAAAGAAAAAAAAAAAAGAGAACGGACCGACCGAGAGCUCCAGCCGAACGAGCACGUGCUUGUUCUCCUCUGCAUGUAAAGAAAUCACUCCUUCCAUAUUUUCUUCCUUCGAUUUCUUUUUUUUCCGCGCAUCUUUCUCCGAAAGGAAACCACUCCAUCAAUCCUCACCAUCCAGGGAAUCCAUUCAGGAAAUCAAUUUGAAGUUUCCUCUCAUAAUCGCAGUUGCCAAAAGAGGUGCCCCGAAUGCCGACCGUCGACAUGCCACGCCCGAUCUCCCUCCUCGGCCACUAUAAAAGGAUUUCACGCGCGUCACUUUGAGCCUUUGCCUCUCCUCUCCCAUUCUCAUGUAGAAAGUUUAGUCUCAAAACCUCUGUACAGCCGGCUACGUCGACGUCUUCUUCCGCCAAUCACCACCACCAUUGUUGCCGGUGAGAUCACCCCGAACCUCCGUUCUUCGAUUCCUUUCACCGGUAGACUCAUGUGAACCUUACCUACCUUUGUGACAAGGUUUCGUGACCUCUUGAUGCCGUUGGCCGCGCCGUCCCCGAACCCAUGCCGAAGCCGCGUCCGGAGCUCCGCCCGUCGCCAUCCGGAGAUGCUACGACUGCGCAAGCCGUGUCACGAUGUCCGCCUCGAUGUCUUCCACGGCCCCACCGAACCCUACGUCGACAUCAUCGCUGUCCUUCUUCAACUCCGGCGAACUCCGUGUCUUCUCCGGUGAGCAACUUUUCAGCCGCAGCAGUUUUGAUUAGCCAUGUUUAGAAGCCCAUAUCUUUUGAUCAGUGUACCAUUUUUGGCCAAAUCUUUUUGUUGUAGUUAGAGAACGUCCACCUCUCUAUACCAGACCAGAUUGUAUACCCCGUCUCUUUGAUCUUCAGUACGGCAUCUUCGUGGGAAAUUGCUAUUCACAGUAUGUUGUUUCUGGAUUAGCCACCUUUCGAAAUUAAUAUAAAUUGUUUCAUUGAUCCGUUUGGUUCCAAGCCUUCUGUAGUUCAUCAAUUAGAUCAUUUUAUACACAUUAGUGUACACCUUGCACAACUUAGGAUUCAUCUACAGAGGUGCAUCUUCAAUCAAAAGUCGUAUCUGUUAACACUGUCACAUCAGUUAGCUAUCUUCCGGAGCCUAUAUCUUUUGAGACAUUACUUAAAAUUAGAUGAUUCUUUCUUUCAUGUCAAUAUAAAAUCCAAAUCUAAAUCCUAGACCUAUUUUAACACCUUUCCAAGUUCAUCCACACUAGUGCAUCGUCAUUGCAAAACAGUACCUUCAGCAGUUUCUCACACUGCCAAUUCUAAGCCUUAGUUACAGAAACUUUGUUAUAUAUUAGCCUUUUUUGUAAGCCUGUAUAUUUUGACUCACAACUCCUAUUUAGAUUAAACCAGUGUAUUUUGAAAGCUUGUUAGAUCUAGUUUAAUUCAUCACAUUGUCCCUCUGUCUUUUGAAGCCAUUAGCACCAGUACAUUUUCAGUAGAAGUUAGUAUCUUUAAUCUGUCAGAAUCAGACUAGCCAGAUUUGCAAGCCAGUAGCUAAUUCUCUGUAGAUCCUUUUGGGAUGAGACUUGUUGGGUUAGCAAGUACAAUAUUAAUACCAUACAGUAGUAUAAUUUUCAUCCCAUGUUCUGCCAUUUAGCACCAUUUUUCAAACAGCCAAAGUAUUUAAGUUAUAACAGUUCCUAUAGACUUAAAUUCCAGACUUAACCACUAGUCCAUGCCCAACCAAACUUUGUAUCUGUUAACACUGUCUUAUUGAUUAGCAAUGUUCCAAAUCCCAUACUUGUUGAUUCAUAUUUUCAAACCAGUUCAUUCUUUCUGUUGUGACAAGAGUACACCCAACUCUUGAUUCUGGACCACUUUGUGCACCUUUUUAAGUUCACCUACCAUAGCUCAUGACCCCUAGAAAACUGUAUCUGUUAACAGCCAAUGACUUCACCGUUUCAACUCCGAUAAAACCCAAGCCUUGUUCCUACCUCUUAGAUCUAUGCCUAAGAUAGCCUAACGGUAGUUAAGUACUGUUUAAUUUAAACUUUGUAUAUGUCUUUGGUUCUUUAUUUGGAGUUAUGAUUUGGAGUUGUCGAAUGGUUAUUUAUUAUUGCUUUUCGUUCUUCGCGAUAGAUUAUACGGAGUGCGGUAACUGUGAGUAUCGAAAAGAAGAAGAAUACAAAGACACUAAUCAGGCAAGUUCACUUUGACCAUCAUCCCAUUAUUUUAUUAUGCACUAGAUUUUGUUAGUUGCAUUGUCAGGAUUAUUACUGUAUCUAUGGUAGCUAUGAUCUGUCCUAAUAGUAUAGGAUACCCUUGUCAUAACCUUACCACCAAUUGCCAUCGUGGUAGUAAAAUGCUAUGCUAUGUUAAUAUACGAGGGUGGUAUUAUUAUAAUGUGAUACUAUUGAAUUACAAUAUGAUUUUCCUAAUGUAUGGCAAAACAAGUAAUUCAAUGAACCGUCCUGGGUGGGCUGCUUUGAGUUUUCGGAUGUCGUGACGUAGGUCCAUUUCUAUGGGGCCCGCUGAGUCGUCUCUCCGUGUGAUUCGAGAGCGUCCAUGGUCGUCUCCCCGUGCGAUUCGGGGAGCGCUUGCGUCACAAUGUGGGAUGCCACCCGGGGUAACCAGAAACUGGACUAGUUUCCUGUUUAGUAGCUUCCAGUACAACCACAUGGUAUUAUGGGCUCUGCCAGGAUGGAUGUAAGAAAUAUGAACCUGGAUCCGAGGUGACAUCGGUAUGUACCAGUGUAGGUUGGAACGCGUCCCUCAGGUGGUUUGGGGGAAUAUGUUCUGAAAAUUCCUGUAAUCGAUGCCGUUGCUACUCCACCUGGAGGACAGUAAGGGACUAACACGUCAAUUUCUUGUGGGUAAAGUGUACCACCUCUCGAGAGCGUCAAACUAAGUACUUAGCCGUGUCCCCGGUUACGGACAAUUAUGAGCAACUAGAUAUUGGGGCUGUAAGGAAGGUCUCACUCAUUCCAAUUUCAUAAUAAAACGAAUGAAUUGAACUGGGUAAGAGCAUUGAUGUUUCUACUCAAUGUGCAUAGGUUAAUAGUAGCAUGGGUGUUUCUACCCCGUGUUCAAUAGUGAUAAAACUAUUUGGUUAAAAAUGAUAGGAUCAAACAUUGAUGCUUUUACGCAAAAAAAGCCUGAACUCCACCUUGCCAUAUACUGCAUGUACUUGAUAGGUUCUGUUAUAACCCUUUGGUGAACUUGCCAAUACAUUUAAUGUAUUGACCCCCUAGUGGCUGCAACGUUUAAAUGUUGCAGGUGAACCAGGUGAAGAGUGAGGUACGAAUUGUUAGGGUUGCGAGUUUACAUUCCAACAUGUUUCGACUAUGGAGUUGUUAUGGGACUCCUGUAUCUUCUGCCUUCCGCUGCAAGAUUUUAUUUUCUUUUGAGAUAAUCCAUGAGGUUGUGCAAUAUGUAAGUUACUAAUAAAUUCUGGAUCAAUGCGAUGUAAUAUACUUUUGACCUUUGUAUCUUGAUAUUACAUCUUGAAACUGUGUGUGCUAGCGAGUCAAUCCAGGAACUAGCAUUGUAAGCACAGAGAUCGAACCUGCAAGGGGGAGGAUCGCUUCAUAUUUGGGCCACUGCUUGUGUGAUAAGUUUGUAGCAUUGUGCAAUUCAGUGGGUCCGUUGUCAAAUCCGACAAGUCUUGUGCACGCGAUCCUCUUCAUGGCCUCCUACGUACCGCUUUAAGAAAUCUCUCCUUUGGUUCCACAGCAGCCGUGGGACCUUGUAGUCACUAGAAAGUGUAAAAAAAAAACAAGACGCGGCCCAACAUGGCAUGAACCCAAUGUCGCACUGCCAGUUUGACUGGUAGCGGUAGCCCUGGCGGGGUAUUCGGGCCAUGCGCCGACUACCCCGGUGGUGGGGACGGGUAUAUAGAUCGGUGGUUAUUGUUUUGUUCGUAUAAAUUUGGAGUCGAGUGCUUCGGAUGAGGAAAGGAUCCACCCUACCUGCAAACUUUUUCAGUAUUUUCUCCCAUAACAGGAGUAUGCCGAGAGCGUCCUCUGCGUCGGAGUCGGUUAACACAAUUGCAUGCACCAGCCGAUAGAGAUGAUAAAUGACGGCAUGGCGAGUUCGAUGAUAAAUGCAGUUUCUUUUCUUCUAACCUAUGAUCUCGCCUUAUGGUAGAUCAAGCAACAUCGACAUAUGUGCGUCAUGUGAAUGUUGAAGGUGUUGGCUUGGAAGUUCGCUUGAGGGAUGACGAUCCCUUAUUUGACCAACAAGAUGUACAAAAUGUUCUUGUUGAAGGCGUUUGUUCGGAGUACUGCGUUUUGUAUUCAUCCCAUGUUGCUCAUGCUGAUGGACUUGGUCACUGGAAACUAGUUUGCGGUAGGUGACAGAUAAGAUAGUCACCGGCGGAGCCACCACCCGGCUACAUAGGGCAAUUUCCCAGGCUUGAUCUUCUGGCUUCUACUACCAAACAGAGCACGGUGAGUGAUUGACGGCUAUUUUUCUUGGGCAAAUUUACGUUGGAGCGGCUCCUUUUAGAGCUUCAAAAACCGGCUGACUCCGCCACCGAAGGCGGCAGUAGUCUUGAUGAAAGCAGUCUUUAGAAUAUGGUUUAUGCCUUCCAUUUGGAAUCGACACCGCCUUGUUAGUUGAUGAACGGUGAGAGUUGGGCAGAGCUAAUCUCAAUGGAGGCAUGAAGCGAGAUUUGACGGUCUUUAAGGUGCAUUUAAUGUUUGAUGCACAUAAUAAGUGUCUACGUCACCAUCCACAUGAUGCAACCCAUUUUGGUGGUAACUUCUGCAAUUCAAUCUUUUACUCCCUCCGUUUCAUAAUUCUUGUAUCAAAUUUGCCCAAAAAUGGAUGUAUUUAUUUCUAAAAAACGUCUAGAUACAUGUAAUAUUUUGACAAGAAUUAUGAAAUGGAGGAAUAGCAUUUAAGACUUUUCACGUAAAUAUUUCAUCAAGUAAUCAUAUUUUCUUGAUAUAUAUGUCGUUUUUUAUAAGGAUUGCAGAUAUUCAGGUUCACUUCCCGUAGCUUUCUUUGUUUUGUUUCCCCAAAGUAUAAGUAAUGUUCAUGUCCUCUUAUUAUUUUGUUGGGAUAGGUGUUUUGGAUAAUAAAGUCGUUUGGUUAUACAAUAUUCACAUUUUUUUCAUUUGAUUCUCAUUUGUUCCUAACAUUAUGUGCAAAUGUGCAAAUAAAAUUUUUUCUGUAACUCCGCGAAAUGACCAAAUAAAAGUAUCCGAGGAUGGCAGUUUCAAACAGCAGAAACCAGUAGCCUAUAUAAGUGCAGGGUUUAACACCUCAACAAUCCGUGCCUGCAGCAGCUAGUCAGAGAGCAAGUAAGAAACGGCGGAGUGCCAUGGCUGGGGCAUUUCUCUACCCGUGCCUGCUCUUCCUCGCCUCAAUCGCCACCGCUUCCUCGCACUCGCAGUGCCUCGACAACCCGCCGGACCUCAUGGCGCGCGGCCACGAGGCGGGCACGGUCGUCGCUGACCUCGCCGGCUUCAAGGCCUACGUCACCGGCGCUGCCCACUCCCACCGGGCCAUCGUCCUCGCCUCCGACAUCUUCGGUUAGUUCAUCCGAUUAAUCUCUGACUAGCUGUUGAUUCGAUGUGCUAGAGAAUACGAGUUACUGUGUCUGAAUUCAGCUGCUGCCUAAUACUGUUCUACAUAGCCUCUUUUGCAAGAACAAGGGCGCCACCUCGUUCGUUUCCUGACGGACCGCCAGAGUCUUUACAUUCUGCUUUCUGAAUAUGCCACACAUGAUAACCUACAUAUGUGGCAUAGACGGUUUCACAUGGAGUCGUCGAUAACAACUUCACAAAUGUUUAUAUUUAAGAAUCUUCUUCGAUAAAUUAAACCUCCUAUUAUAAAUGUAUUAUCCUGGCAACGGUCUCACCAAUGUAAACAAUUUUCUUUUGUCGUGGCCCAAAUCCUCACGAUCCGGUUGAAACCAGUGAAAACCAUGUUGCACCCUUUUUAAAAUUCCUAAAAAAUAUAUUAGAAAAAACAACGGUGUGUUGGAGUCCUUAUAAUUUUGAAGGAAAAUUAUGUGGUGAAAAUUAUUUAUCACUAGGUGACUAAACUAGUACGAUCACAUUGCUGAGCUAAACAAAAAUGGUUACCUCCCUGCAAGGUUAUUCUUAAGCACGAGCUCUAGGGAUAGGCCAACCCACUACCAUCGAUCAGGAAAGGCGCGUCUAGGUGAGAAAACAGUGGUACAUGUGUGGCUCAUUGUACCUAAGUGAGAAUUAUGAGUUUCCAAAUAUCUCUUGGGACAUAUCUUACAUUUAUGUACUACUAAACUUGCAUCAUUAUCCUUUUUCCUUAUUGCUAAUAUUUAUUAAUUGGUUUUUAAUAGUAACCUGCAAAUAUAUUUAAUAGUAACCUGCAAAUAUAUCAAGAUAUAUCUUAUCUAGACGACACACCAAUAUUAUCUCAAUGUGUCCACCUCUCUAUAUAAGCACUUGUAUAACAAGCACAACACGUACAUGUCUCCAUCGUCACACUUUGGAGUAACAUAGUCAUGGUGAAGGGCAAGACAACAAAGGGUAGGCAGAAGAUUGAAAUCAAGGCCAUCCACAGUGAGAAGGCACGCCAUGUAUGCUUCUCAAAGCGUCGCCAGGGCCUAUUUGGUAAGGCCAAUGAGCUUUCCACCCUAUGUGGCGCAGGUGUCGCCAUUGUUGUUUUCUCACCUGGUGGUAAAAUCUUCUCUUUCGGUAAUCCCUCUGUGGACUCUAUCAUUCAUCGCUUCCUCCCCAAGAGCAUCAAUGAUGCACAUGCAAUGGUUGGUGGAAGCAAUCAGAUCCAUGUAGAUCCAAAUAAUUUGCGUGCAUUGAGUCAGGAAUACUCAAAUCUGCAAAUGGUGAUGGAAGCAGAGCAGAAGAGAAAAAAGAGGAUACAAGAGGAAAUGGAGGAAAUGGAGAGGGAGAGUGAGGGACGUGUGAUGCGAUGGCUAAACACUGAUGUUACUGCGCUCCGUCUAGAAGAGUUGGAAGAGUUCCAUGGAGAGCUUACUGCGCUGGAAUGCAUGGUCAAUGGAAGGUUGUACUGGUUGCUGCAACAAGCCAAGAAAAUGAAGAAAACACUGCCGCAAUUCCAUGGCAAGGAAACGUCAACUGCACAAUUCAUGUCCCCGUUCAAGAAUGUCAUGCCAAUGUCAAGCACUCCUUUCAGUUCUACCAAUGGUCAGUUCAUCAUUUCACGGCUUUGAGGCCGAACACCUUUUGGAAUAAUAAGUACUCUGAUGAUAUAAGAUUGCAUCGCUGGUCAUGAAUGUAAUGUAGUGACCAAAAAUAGUACUCCGUAUUACAUUGUGUGUUUCCUUAUAUUAACUUCAUAUGUUUACACCUUGAUGCUAUCAAGUUAUGGCGGAUUCACAUGAGUCAUGCAUUCUCGUGAUUUUUCUCAACCAUGCAAUCCAUGUUCCAUAUGCGAAGAAAGUGUCACCGCCAUGUUGGUUGCGUGCAGCUUAUCAAUUCCAUGUUGUAGUCUAGCCCUUACAAUUUCAAAGAAAAAAUAUAGCUAGGUCAUUUUUCAAGCACAUCUGCAGUACUUGUCGGACCCAUGGGACCUGAUACCACCGAUAAUCAAGAAGGUCGCAUCGAGAUGAAAAAACAGCGGCAUAUGUGGUGCUCCUCAGACUUAAGGAUGGAGGCUGAUUUGUCAGAUAUCUCUAGGGACAUAUCUUACAUUUAUGGACUACUAAACUUGUAUGAUCAUUUUUUAGUACUAGAUAAUAUCUAUUAAAUGGUAAUAAUUAGUACCUUCCAAAUAUAUUAAGAUAUAUCUUACCUGGAUAGCUCACUAAUUCUUUGUCCACGUUUCCAUAUUUCUAUAUAAUAUUAUAAUUGCUUAUAUACCCAAUGACAACAUGUGUCUCUGGUAUCCACAUAGUUCGGAUUCAUACAUAUCCAACAAACAACACAAUAAUAAUGCAAUUGUGGUAAGAAUAAGAUAACCAAGGGUUGGCAAAUUAUCGAUAUAAAGGCCCUAGAGAGUGUGGGAAGGCACGCCAUGUGUGAUUCUCAGAGCACCCUCAGAGGGUAUGUGAUAUGGUGCCAACUAGAUCAUGACGUCUUGCAUUGUUGCACCAGUCAAUUUUGACAAUAGAAAGAUAGUAAAUAACACUAAUAUAUGGAGGCAUGGAAGGUGAAAGUUAAAUUUCCAUGAUCUAAGAUAUCUAUUUUACUACUUCCUCUGAUUCUAAAUUCUUGACUCAAAUUUGUCCAAAUAUGGAUGUAUCUAUUUUUUAAAAACAUCUAGAUACAUGUAAUAUUUCGACAACAAUUUAGGAUCGGAGGGAGUAGUAAUGUACGAGGUGAAUAUUUUUUAAUAGGGAAAUGUGAAUCAAUUUGUUUGAAGAUAUUUGGGCCACUGCUGCUUGUGUGAUAAGUUUGUAGGAUGUGAAAUUCAGUGGGUCUGUUGUCAAAUCCGACAAGUCCUGUACACGCGAUCCUUCUCAUGGCCUUCUACGACUUAUAUUAGGAACUUGACUUUUUGGAUCUUUUCCCUGUCUCAGCAAGAAGACCGCAAGUUCCAAGUUGAUCGAUCACCUCGUAAAUAGCCAUAUGAUACAUAAUGACUAACAUUGUGAUACAAUUUGGAGUCACAAGAACAACCAUAAGCAACAACAACGCCCAGUUCCAAAGCACAACUUUCAUCUGUGGCUCGUCCAAAGAGCACCAGCCCCAUGCUGCAAGAAACGAAGAAAUGCGCCAUCGAGCACCUCAAGUGGCACCAAAGAACUCUUGUUCCCUAAUACCCUCCGUUCUUUGGGCAGGUCAAACAACUACUAGCAGCGUCACUGGUGAAACUCCUUUCUUUCUAGUCUAUGGGGCCGAAGACACGCUUUCCUCUGAACUAAAGAUAGGAUCGCCGUGUUGAUUUAUAUUCUAACCUGUACAAAGUCCUUUGAUGAGAGGAUGACCUCAAUGAUGUUGAGGAAGAAAGGCAUGUCGCGCGCACUGAUACGAUCGAUCGGCCAAAUACCAACACACCCUUCGAAGCUACUAAGACCAGAAACAUUAAUAUGCAUUCAAAACUCUAGAAAAUUUGCAUAUGCCACCGAUUAAUAUUAUAAAGCUACCAUAAUUAUCUCGUAAUUGUAUUAGUGGAUUUAUGUGAAGCAAGGCCUAGCUUCUUAGGUUUGUACUACGGUACCAAGCGUUGCCAGUGACUUUAGUCCCACCUCGCUAGUGGGAGGGGGCUACGACCAGCAUAUAAGGGAGAGUAGCCACUCUCUCGUCAGUCCGGGCUUUCGGGAUGAGGAGGGCUCUUUACUUAUAUGGCCACCUCGCAAGUGGGAGUGGACCACGACCAUCAUAUAAGGGAGAGUAGCCACUCUCUCGUCAGGCCGGGCUUUUUGGGAUGAGGAGGGCUCUUUCCUUAUAUGGUUGUGCCGGAUGUGCAUGAACGCCUGAACACGACACGUGUGUGUGGACCUGGGCCUGGGAAGCUGGACCCCUGGCCCCUCCACACACACCCACUAUUUUUUCAUAGUCUACCCCCAUUGUUUGCUUGCAAAUCAAUUUCACACUCUUCAUAUUCCCAUAUGUUGUGUACCAAGCGUGUUUCUGUUGUUGCUAUUCUAAAGAAACAUUUCUCAGCAUUAUAGGCAAGUUUAUAGAAUUAGUUUACUUCCUUAAAAGGAGCUAGACUAGCUACAAGGCUGUGACAGGUCUUCUUACCGUGGCAGUCAAGUUCAUCCUCUCAUGAAUGCGACUAUAGCUAGCCAACGGACUGGGCCAAAUGAAAAAGCCUGCAGGGACAGCGGCCCGAACAAACUCAGGCUUGACCUGAUACGAGGUUAAACAGGCCGUGUUGGCCAGUGACCCGGCGUGGUACGUCCUGCCUAGACCUCAGCCUCAAACCUCGCUGGUCCGAGGAGGCCCUGGUCCGUUUAACAAUUUUUCACAUUUUUCCAAUGGGGCUGCCAGGCUAAACGGCUUGGGCAUGGGCUGGCUCAGCUGGUGCGCCGUGCCUGGGUCUAAGUUCCGCGGUAGUGGGUUGGCACGACACGACCCCUUUAUAAAUGGACCCAAUGGGCCCGAGCCAGGCUAGUCCGGUAAGUCGCAGACCAGGCCUAGGCCGAGCCGUUGGUAAGCUACAAAUGUGAUUUUUCAAAUUUGAGUAAAAUAAUGCUGUACGAAAAUUGUGAGUCAAACCUCAUAUCAGACAACAAAAUCGUGAAACAGGGGGCAAGGGUUUUAAGCAGGGUCAACUAACCAGAAAGUGAAAUUAAAGAAAAAGAGAAAAAAGAAACAAAAGCAAGCUCGAUGGCAACGUGGAGGUGACUCAACACAACAAUGCAUGCCAACAACCGCUCGCCGCGUGCUUCUUUACGGAUACGAACGCACGGCACAGCGCAGAGACAGCACGAGAUAGAGUGAGCAUCAAGCUUAGUUUGCAAAAAACCAUGGCUCGGGCAUUGCUCUACCCUUGUCUCCUCUGCCUCGCCGUUCUCACCGGCAACGCCGCCGCGCACUCGCAGUGCCUCGACAACCCGCCGGACCUCACCGCGGGCGGCGUCGAGGCGGGGAAGGUCGUCGAUGACCUCGCCGGCUUCAAGGCCUACGUCACCGGCGCCGUCCACUCCGACAAGGCCAUCGUCCUGGCCUCCGACUUCUUCGGUUAGUUCAUCCGGUUAAUAUUAAUGGAUUCCACGUGUGAGAGAGUAUGAGCUACCGUGUCUGAAUUUGGCUGGUGCCUUGUUUGAUUUUCUUUAGGAUUCCAAGCGCCGCUGCUGAGGUACGGCCUUCUCUUGCCGACUUUCUUUUCCUUGAUUCUAUGUUCCUCCUUUUCUCGUAAUGAGCAGAAAAUUUGUGAAGUGAAAUGGACCCAUGAGGUGCUCACGAAUUAAACCUACUGUACAGAAAAAUGAUGUGAAUGAGAAAAAUAAAUAUAAGGACUGUAAUUUUUAGUCAACCCUACCUGUAACUCUUUACCGUAGGCAUAAGAACUGCAGUAGCAUACCAACUUAUCAAGUUCUAGUACUGUACUAGAAAAAAAAAUUGGAAAUCUUCAGCAUAAAUGUGGUCGUCCUGUAGCAACACAUAUUUAGAGCACUUCUUAUCGCUGCAUUAGACUCAUCUGGCUUUAGUUCUCUCUGUUCCCUGGCUCUGCAAAUGAGUAUUGCCAUGUGAACUUUUGUUCCCAGGCAUUCUAGUUCUAGUAAUGACAUGUCACGCUCAAAGUAGGAUUAUUUCAACUUAUUGUAAUUUUACGUAAAAAAAACUUGUUAUAUCUGACUAGUAAAGGCAAAACCAGGGGCUGCUGUUCAAUCUACCGUAAUUGUCUACUUGUCUUCUUUAAAGCAAGGGAAGAGGCACUUGCCCACUGUAGUAUUUUUGUAGAAAACAGAGAUAGCAGAGUUGACCCAUAAAAUUCUAUUGCAAUAUGAUAGUUCUUUAUAUUAAAAGGCUUAAACUUGACCCGCAAAAAAGGGCUUAAACUUGGUCAUCCGUGUAUGUCAAUGAAGGAAAAUUGCUGACAAAGUUGGUGAAGCUGGCUAUUACGUUGCGGUGCCGGAUUUCUUCAAUGGACAACCUUACACGGAAGGAGCAAACAGAACAGAGUGGAUCCAGGCUCACUCCCCGGUAAUUUAUCUUUACAUAUAAUAAAAUUAUCCGAUGAUUAACGUUACCUAAUUAUUUGUUCUACCCAAUCAAUCGGUCGGCCUUACUUACAGGUAAAAGCAGCCGAAGAUGCAAAACCAAUCUUCGCAGCUCUGAAGAAGGAACGGAAAUCUGUUGUUGGAGUUGGGGGCUAUUGUUGGGGCGGUUAGUAAGACCAAACACAAGAAAACUAUGAGCAAAGAUGAAAUGUAUCAGGAACAAAAAUCUUGGAAAUCAAAGAAUCCACAUUUAGCAUUCCCAGAAAGAUCCUGCAUUUCGGCUUAGUUCGUAUUCAUUUUUCUGGGAUAACAUUUGGUUCAUACUCUCUUUCCUGUCCUGAUUAACUAACAGGGAAAUUCGCGGUGGAGGUGGCAAAAACGAACGAGGUAGAAGCAAUAGUCAUUUCCCAUCCUUCAGCAGUGACCGCAGAUGAUAUGAGAGGUGAACCCUUUUUACCUUCGGUACUCUUGUGGGUGAAGAACUAGACCAUUGUUCUUAAGUCUAGUUCAACUGCUACUCAGAGAUCAAGUGCCCCAUUGAGAUCCUUGGAGCUCAGAAUGAUACAACUACACCACCAAAUUUGGUAUAUCAGAUUGUCGAUGCCUUGCGUCAAAGAAGGCAGGUGAGUCCUUCCAGCCACUUUGGAUACCAAAUGCAUGCAAGCCUGAAAACAAAUUUGCAAAGACGAAGCAGCAGGUUCAAUCAGAAUAACUGAAACUUAAAUGAUAAACACAGAAGAUAAAAAACAAAUCCUGUUAUGAUUCACUUUAGAAGUCCAUGCCAUGCUUAAUUGGUGUACUGUUACACAUUUGGCACGUUCACAUGACUAAAAAUGAAAAAGGAUUGUACACUUUAAGUUUCGCCCUUGUACAAGGCACUUGAAUUGUAGGUUAACUGGAUAUCAUGGUUUACAUUGUUGCAGAUUCAUUACUAUGCAAAGAUCUUUCCAGGAGUAGCGCAUGGCUUUGCUUGCAGAUACAAUGAUACCAACCCGUUCGCAGUUAAGACCGCCGAACAAGAUCUUGCCUUAAUGCUUGACUGGUUCGGCAAAUACUUGAAAUGAGAAUAGCUCACCAUUCAACUUCAGUGCAAAUGUUUAAUCCAAAUACAACUUACUUGCAUCUAUAUGUAAAUGUCAUAAUCAAUCAUGGAGAUAACGUGUAUUGGCUACGAUUUGUGGGUACUUGCUUACCUUUGUAAUAUCUUCAUACUGCUACUCUAUUUGACUGAUUGUACACCGUGAAUGUAUAUGCAGCUUUACCGGUUGCAAUUUGCAUCAACUACCUACCUUUUUAUCCAUAGAAAUGCUCGGGUAUCUAGCUAGUCAUACACGAGGAGACUGAGGAUUCUGUGUAAUACUAUUCUUUUGGGGAAUUCAAACCAGCUGAAAUAGCUUAUCUUUUCGUUGCUGAGCCAGGAUAAACUUGCCAGUUGCCAGUCUGAAACUAAGCUAAGAUCUAGAACUACAAACCAUGCCCUGUUGCCCUAAUGUCUGGCAUAAAGUCAGCGCUGGAAACUAUACAGUACACAUUGGCCAAGCGCCCAAGCGGCCAAGCCAGAGAUGGACCAGUCAUCAGGUUACAGAGCUAGACAUGUAGCAUCCUUUCUCUUUCAGUAAUUUCGCAGGAAGGUUUAGGGCACGCAAAAUACAUCCUACCAAUGCAAACACAUCGAUAUUAGAAAA
This 15187-nucleotide long non-coding RNA is filed under the name Brachypodium distachyon (stiff brome). Its description in RNAcentral is "long non-coding RNA (BDIS_LNC003148)". The record is from RNAcentral. Lineage: Eukaryota; Viridiplantae; Streptophyta; Magnoliopsida; Poales; Poaceae.